This 58-nucleotide transfer RNA is filed under the name Salmo salar (Atlantic salmon). It matches the Rfam family "tRNA", at positions 8 to 63 of the family's 71-position model. From Rfam's summary of the family: Transfer RNA (tRNA) molecules are approximately 80 nucleotides in length. Their secondary structure includes four short double-helical elements and three loops (D, anti-codon, and T loops). Lineage: Eukaryota; Metazoa; Chordata; Actinopteri; Salmoniformes; Salmonidae. The record is from Rfam by way of RNAcentral.
UGGCUUACUUGGUAGAGCAUGGCACUUGCAAUGCCAGGGUUGUGGGUUUGAUUCCCAC